UAGGGAAUCUUCCGCAAUGGACGCAAGUCUGACGGAGCAACGCCGCGUGAGUGAAGAAGGAUUUCGGUUCGUAAAACUCUGUUGUUAGAGAAGAACAGCGCAUAGAGUAACUGUUAUGCGUGUGGCGGUAUCUAACCAGAAAGCCACGGCUAACUACGUGCCAGCAGCCGCGGUAAUACGUAGGUGGCAAGCGUUGUCCGGAUUUAUUGGGCGUAAAGCGAGCGCAGGCGGUCAAUUAAGUCUGAUGUGAAAGCCCCCGGCUCAACCGGGGAGGGUCAUUGGAAACUGGUUGACUUGAGUGCAGAAGAGGGGAGUGGAAUUCCAUGUGUAGCGGUGAAAUGCGUAGAUAUAUGGAGGAACACCAGUGGCGAAGGCGACUCUCUGGUCUGUAACUGACGCUGAGGCUCGAAAGCGUGGGUAGCAAACAGG
RNAcentral lists this ribosomal RNA (429 nucleotides) under Bacteroidota bacterium. Its description in RNAcentral is "Bacteroidetes bacterium partial 16S ribosomal RNA". It matches the Rfam family "Bacterial small subunit ribosomal RNA", at positions 355 to 776 of the family's 1533-position model. The record is from RNAcentral. Lineage: Bacteria; Pseudomonadati; Bacteroidota.